Molecule: ribosomal RNA, 429 nt
Filed under: uncultured bacterium
Lineage: Bacteria
Description: partial 16S ribosomal RNA
Rfam family: Bacterial small subunit ribosomal RNA
Source: RNAcentral
CCUACGGGGGGCUGCAGUAACGAAUCUUCCGCAAUGCACGCAAGUGUGACGGAGCGACGCCGCGUGGAGGACGAAGUCCUUCGGGAUGUAAACUCCUGUCAGGGGCUACCGGGGCCCCAGAGGAAGGCACGGCUAACUCUGUGCCAGCAGCCGCGGUAAGACAGAGGUGCCGAGCGUUAGGCGGAAUCACUGGGCUUAAAGCGUGUGUAGGCGGCCCGUUAAGUACCUUGUGAAAUCCCCCGGCUCAACCGGGGAACGGCUGGGUAUACUGGCGGGCUUGGGUCACCCAGGGGCAGACGGAACAAGCGGUGGAGCGGUGAAAUGCGUAGAUAUCGCUUGGAACGCCGGCGGCGAAAGCGGUCUGCUGGGUGUGCCGACGCUGAGACACGAAAGCCAGGGGAGCGAACGGGAUUAGAUACCCUUGUAGUC